UAUAUGUACAAGCUAAAAGACAUAAACUACAUGGGAUUGAGAUUAUCUCCUCCUGCAACUCAUAAAUUAAUGGGUAUCAUUACAAUGGUGUACAUGUGGAUAUUGUUACAAUAGUGUACAUGUUUACUGUUUAUGUACAUGUGGACAUCAUUACAAUGGUGUACAUGUGGAUAUCGUUAUAUGUUGUCCUAUGAGCCGGAAACUUAAAGAGUUUAUCAAAACAAUAACCGAGCAACAUAUCCAUCGUCGGUGUCCCCUCAAACACA
RNAcentral lists this long non-coding RNA (266 nucleotides) under Brassica napus (rape). RNAcentral's name for it is "long non-coding RNA (BNAP_LNC018619)". The record is from RNAcentral. Lineage: Eukaryota; Viridiplantae; Streptophyta; Magnoliopsida; Brassicales; Brassicaceae.